RNAcentral lists this ribosomal RNA (207 nucleotides) under Oidiodendron griseum. RNAcentral describes it as "partial small subunit ribosomal RNA". It matches the Rfam family "Eukaryotic small subunit ribosomal RNA", at positions 1334 to 1563 of the family's 1831-position model. Lineage: Eukaryota; Fungi; Ascomycota; Leotiomycetes; Myxotrichaceae. The record is from RNAcentral.
AACGAGACCUUAACCUGCUAAAUAGCAAGGCUAGCUUUGGCUGGUCGCCGGCUUCUUAGAGGGACUAUCGGCUCAAGCCGAUGGAAGUUUGAGGCAAUAACAGGUCUGUGAUGCCCUUAGAUGUUCUGGGCCGCACGCGCGAUACACUGACAGAGCCAACGAGUUCAUCACCUUGUACGAAAGGUCUGGGUAAUCUUGUGAAACUCU